This is a non-coding RNA of Potamilus streckersoni, 77 nucleotides long. The record is from the annotation of a GenBank genome assembly. NCBI's taxonomy places the organism in Eukaryota, Metazoa, Mollusca, Bivalvia, Unionida, Unionidae.
GACCGCUCAGGUGACGUAGUGGUGAGAGCGUCCACUUCGAAUGCAGGAGGUCGUGGGUUCGAUCCCCAGCCGAGUCA